RNAcentral lists this ribosomal RNA (460 nucleotides) under uncultured bacterium. Its description in RNAcentral is "partial 16S ribosomal RNA". It matches the Rfam family "Bacterial small subunit ribosomal RNA", at positions 338 to 795 of the family's 1533-position model. The record is from RNAcentral.
CCUACGGGUGGCAGCAGUGAGGAAUAUUGGUCAAUGGACGAGAGUCUGAACCAGCCAAGUAGCGUGAAGGAUGACUGCCCUAUGGGUUGUAAACUUCUUUUAUAUGGGAAUAAAAUGUUCCACGUGUGGGAUUUUGUAUGUACCAUAUGAAUAAGGAUCGGCUAACUCCGUGCCAGCAGUCGCGGUAAUACGGAGGAUCCGAGCGUUAUCCGGAUUUAUUGGGUUUAAAGGGAGCGUAGGUGGAUUGUUAAGUCAGUUGUGAAAGUUUGCGGCUCAACCGUAAAAUUGCAGUUGAAACUGGCAGUCUUGAGUACAGUAGAGGUGGGCGGAAUUCGGGGUGUAGCGGUGAAAUGCUUAGAUAUCACGAAGAACUCCGAUUGCGAAGGCAGCUCACUGGACUGCAACUGACACUGAGGCUCGAAAGUGUGGGGAGCAAACAGGAUUAGAUACCCUUGUAGUC